This is a non-coding RNA of Paramuricea clavata, 744 nucleotides long. The record is from the annotation of a GenBank genome assembly. Lineage: Eukaryota; Metazoa; Cnidaria; Anthozoa; Malacalcyonacea; Plexauridae.
AAUCAAGUUUUCUUGUAAAGUAUACAUAAUGGUAAGUUAAUAUUAAUCAUAUCAUCACCUUCCAUGGGAAGCCUAAGGUUGAUUGAUGUGCAGGAAAUCCAUCUAAUAUUUAAAAUUUUGUUACAGAGCAAUAACAACAACACCACCACCACCAACAACAACAACAACCAUGUGAAUAGUGUGCUUAGGCAAUUGAUUGGUCAACUCAAUACUCACCUGUCAACUUUGAAUCAACCCUCAACCCCAAAUCAGCCCUCAACCUAUGAUCAACCGACAACUCCCAAUCACCCUUUCUUCUCUAAUCACCAUUCCACCUCUAAUCACCCUUCCACUUCUAAUCACCCUUCCACUUCUAAUCACCCAUCCACUUCUAAUCACCCAUUCACUUCUAAUCAUCCUUCCACUUCUAAUCAUCCUUCCACUUCUAAUCACCCAUCCACUCCUAAUCAUCCAUCCACUUCUAAUCAUACUUCCACUUCUAAUCAUCCUUCUGCUUCUAACCAUCCUUCUACUUCUGAUCACCCUUCCACUUCUAAUCAUCUGUCUACUUCUAAUCACUCUUCUAUGUCAAGGCAGCCUUUAAUAUAUCAUCACCUUCCAUCAGGAAGGCAGCUUAGUUCAAACACAAUGCCUGCUGUUGCUGAACAUAGAAGAUUGUUUACAAGGCAGUCUGUAAGUGUUUUUUGUAUGUCUAAGACAUUGUAAAAUUUAUAUAAUAAAUUAUUUAUUUUGCAAAGUAACCAU